RNAcentral lists this unclassified non-coding RNA (1541 nucleotides) under Lucilia cuprina (Australian sheep blowfly). RNAcentral describes it as "uncharacterized LOC124421452, transcript variant X1". Lineage: Eukaryota; Metazoa; Arthropoda; Insecta; Diptera; Calliphoridae. The record is from RNAcentral.
UAAGUGUAUAGAAAACACACUAAGGGUACUCAUGUAAACGAUUAAAAGUCAGGCAAACUGUGCAAUCUGUGCAUUUUUCAACUCUCCAAAAUUAAAUUUUUAAAAUUGUAUUGAAAUUCAUUUGCACAACCCAAAUAAAUUUACUCGACAAUUUAGCCUGGCAAACUUGAAUUGUUUAGUUGUGCAUUUGAUAAAUGAAAUUAAAAAUUAUUUUCAUUUGUCAAUUUUUUUAAACGGGAUAGAAAAAAUCUUAACAAAUUUAUAAUUUCGCAAAUAAGUGCCUUUAAAAAAGGGGGUUUUCAUUAAUUCGUGCAAAAAGAUUUAUGUAUACAUUUGUAAAUAAAUGGCGGAGAAAACAACAGAGAAGCCUUUAAGCAAAAAAGAAUAAAUGGAACUCAUCGUUGGACUGAUGCGGAAACGCUCCAUUUAGUGCAAGAAGUUGCUGAAGAAGUAAAAGACAAGAUAGAAUCAUAUGAAAAACCAACCGCGCAAUAUUUUUAUAAAAAAAUUGCAGCAAAAUCAACUAUACCAAAAUCUAUUGAAUGGGUGCCUAUGAAAAAUAAAAUGAGACAUCUUAAAUCAUCUUAUAUGUCUGCACUCAAUUGGAGAAAUCAAACUGGUGCAGGUCUUCUUGCUACUGGGAAUGAAAAAACAGUCGAAGAAUACAUUGAUAAAAUUUGUCCAAUGUUUAAGUAUCUUGAACAAAUAUUUGGUCAAAGACGAGGUGUGAAUCCUUUAAUAAUUAUAGAGACGUCAAUGGAGGAUCAAGAUAUUGAUUGUGUUGUUGGAGAAGUAGAAAUCUUUCAGGUUUUAUUGAUAAAGAAGAAUUCUUUGAAACUUCCGAAAACAAUACAAGUAGUUCUCCAGAAGCUUCAUUUAGCUCACAGACAUCAAUUGAUUCUAUAUCAUUAAAAGAAUCUAUGAAAAAAAUUCCAAAAAAGACUCCAAAAUCGAAAAACACGAGUCUAUUUUCUAUGCUAAUUUCCCUACAAGAAAAGAAAUUGGAAAUAGAAGUAAAAAAAUUUGACCUUGAAAGAGAAAUAUCCGAAAAUGAAAUUAAAAUGAAAAAAGCCAAGCUAGAACAAGAUUUAGAAAUAAGAAAACUUCAAAUUGAAAGCGAAGAAAGAAUUAAAAAAUAUGAAAUAGAAGUUAAAUAUAAAUCUAACACUAACAGUAAUUAAAAAGCAUUUAAUUGUUAUAAUUGCGUUUUAAUAUUAUAUUAAUAAAACAUCGUUAUGCGUUUUGUUCUUUAAUUAAUUCCAACAGUGCCCGUCUUUUUACUUCCCCCUCGAUUGUGGAGUGAUUUGCAGGUUCUUCGUUAUAAUUUUCCAUUUCAAUCUCACAGGGAUUUUCAGUGGAUAACGUUAAAUCAAUUUCUUCUUCAUUCUGGUCCAAUAAAAUAUUAUGCAACAUGGCGCAUACCAAAAUCCAAUUACAGGCACGUUUAAUAGAUGACUUGUUUUUUAUUUGUAUUUUUAAAUCUUUUAGGCUUUUAAAACGAUCUUUCAUUAUACCAAAGCAGUGUUCAAUCCUUAUUCGGU